Molecule: unclassified non-coding RNA, 1733 nt
Filed under: Priapulus caudatus
Lineage: Eukaryota; Metazoa; Priapulida; Priapulimorpha; Priapulimorphida; Priapulidae
Description: cadherin-like and PC-esterase domain-containing protein 1, transcript variant X2
Source: RNAcentral
UGCUCCAUACACUUGGACACGGAGAUGCUGUGGUUUUACAUAAGACAUCAUUAUAACGCUGCGGCAGAGGCGUACGUGAAGACAGCGAUCGCGGACAGUGUGUUCUGGACAUUGGACGGCUCGGUCAGCGCCCUUUCUCCGAACACUCACUCUCCGCCGGCGCCAUGUAAACGCUGCUAUCAGCUACUGGCCUAUGAUAUUUUACUCAACUCGGCGCAGCUGCAUCCCGUGGUGAUAAGUGUACAUAACGAAAGCGAAGUUUUUAGUGACUGUCAACAGCCACGUUAUAUCUUACGGAAACAAGCGCUUCUCAACGAGAUGGUAGAUAUAAUACUUGACAAGCCAACCAGAACUCCCAUGUUUAGUGACCUGAGGCCGUUGUGCAAUGAGGGAAGCGCUCGGUGGUCUAACUCGAAAGACUGCCGUCACACGCUCAGGGAACGAGCGGGUGAUCUCGUAUGGAAACCCAACGCCACGUAUUGCAGUCAAGGCCUUUUAAUUGGGCAGUUGGUGCCGGCCAAGCAAACUUGGAAAUCAAUGGGCGUUUGGAUAAGCGACGGAGUCUCAAGUACAGAAUUUCGACAACAAGAAAAUACCUUUUCGAGACGGAAAAUCCUUCUUCACAUAAAGUCUCCCCACAUGAUGUCUGUAGCUUAGUUCAGGGAGAUGGCUUGUCCCGUGUGGCUCCUGUUACGAUAGACAGUCCUGUUACUGGCCCAAAGCUGUUUGGCAGCCUUACGAUUGCCGUUACAUGGACUUGAAUAAAAAAAAUAUACAAGCAUGUCUCGCUGGUCGAACGAUACUAUUUCAAGGCGACUCGAUUUUACGAGGAAUUUUCGACUACAUGCAUGGCGCCCUUAAAUUGAAGAAAGGAACCGGCAAUGCGUCUGGUCAACACAUCUACGUGACUACGUCCAAUAAAGGGAAGAAGGUUGCCAUGCAGUACAGCCGAAUAUUGGCGUAUGAAGAAGACGACGUGGUGGACAUACCAAGAUACUUCAAUAGCGAGUUUGACAAGCUGCUGUCGACAGGCGGAAAGAUAGAAAAUACGAAGAAUACCAUUUUCGCAUUAGGUGGCGCAUACUGGAUGCAACCUGCAAUAUAUAAAUGGUUCAUGGGCAGGUUAGACAAUGCUGGAUUGACAAAUGUUACUGUUGUGAUAAAAAUGGACAAUGCUGCUCUGCAUCACCCACAGAUAAAGACACCUUCCUUAUGGGAUCCAGUUCGUCAUCUGAAAAGAAAUCUAGCCGUCGCCCAUAUUAUCGAGUCGGAGAAACAGAGGUCUCAAAACGUAAAGCUUGUUAACCCAAUCAAUAUUACGAUGCCCAUGUUCCAAGGUUUUCACGAUGGCGGAUUCUGCUCUUGUCAUUUUCAUAAGUAUCACCUUAACGCCACAUAUGCCGUAGAUGGACACGUCCAGAAGAUGUAUAUUAAACCAUUCUUCCACACGUUGUGCCUUGGAGAAACAGAUAGGAGGAGUUAACGAAUGUCUGAAACCGUAUAUGUACGCACUUGCUCAAUGUUUAACUGAUUACUGGAGUUUUCCCCCAACUGUCUUAAACAAGCUAAAAUUAUACCUACUUACAAAUCUGAAUCACUUAAUACCCCGUUAAAUUACAGAUCUAUUUCCCUUCUCUCUCCAUUCUCGAAAAUUCUUGAGAAAUGUCUCUAUAUAAUAUGUUUGAUAAGUUCCUAACCAAAUGUAAUAUACUUUCACAAAAUCAGUUUGGGUU